RNAcentral lists this ribosomal RNA (484 nucleotides) under uncultured bacterium. Its description in RNAcentral is "partial 16S ribosomal RNA". It matches the Rfam family "Bacterial small subunit ribosomal RNA", at positions 30 to 507 of the family's 1533-position model. The record is from RNAcentral.
AUUGAACGCUGGCGGCAGGCCUAACACAUGCCAGUCGAGCGGAUGAAGGGAGCUUGCUCCUGGAUUCAGCGGCGGACGGGUGAGUAAUGCCUAGGAAUCUGCCUGGUAGUGGGGGAUAACGUCCGGAAACGGGCGCUAAUACCGCAUACGUCCUGAGGGAGAAAGUGGGGGAUCUUCGGACCUCACGCUAUCAGAUGAGCCUAGGUCGGAUUAGCUAGUUGGUGGGGUAAAGGCCUACCAAGGCGACGAUCCGUAACUGGUCUGAGAGGAUGAUCAGUCACACUGGAACUGAGACACGGUCCAGACUCCUACGGGAGGCAGCAGUGGGGAAUAUUGGACAAUGGGCGAAAGCCUGAUUCAGCCAUGCCGCGUGUGUGAAGAAGGUCUUCGGAUUGUAAAGCACUUUAAGUUGGGAGGAAGGGCAGUAAGUUAAUACCUUGCUGUUUUGACGUUACCAACAGAAUAAGCACCGGCUAACUUCGUG